Molecule: ribosomal RNA, 1372 nt
Filed under: uncultured bacterium
Lineage: Bacteria
Description: bacterial SSU rRNA
Rfam family: Bacterial small subunit ribosomal RNA
Source: RNAcentral
GAUGAACGCUGGCGGCGUGCCUAAUACAUGCAAGUCGAGCGAACGGACGAGAAGCUUGCUUCUCUGAUGUUAGCGGCGGACGGGUGAGUAACACGUGGAUAACCUACCUAUAAGACUGGGAUAACUUCGGGAAACCGGAGCUAAUACCGGAUAAUAUUUUGAACCGCAUGGUUCAAAAGUGAAAGACGGUCUUGCUGUCACUUAUAGAUGGAUCCGCGCUGCAUUAGCUAGUUGGUAAGGUAACGGCUUACCAAGGCAACGAUGCAUAGCCGACCUGAGAGGGUGAUCGGCCACACUGGAACUGAGACACGGUCCAGACUCCUACGGGAGGCAGCAGUAGGGAAUCUUCCGCAAUGGGCGAAAGCCUGACGGAGCAACGCCGCGUGAGUGAUGAAGGUCUUCGGAUCGUAAAACUCUGUUAUUAGGGAAGAACAUAUGUGUAAGUAACUGUGCACAUCUUGACGGUACCUAAUCAGAAAGCCACGGCUAACUACGUGCCAGCAGCCGCGGUAAUACGUAGGUGGCAAGCGUUAUCCGGAAUUAUUGGGCGUAAAGCGCGCGUAGGCGGUUUUUUAAGUCUGAUGUGAAAGCCCACGGCUCAACCGUGGAGGGUCAUUGGAAACUGGAAAACUUGAGUGCAGAAGAGGAAAGUGGAAUUCCAUGUGUAGCGGUGAAAUGCGCAGAGAUAUGGAGGAACACCAGUGGCGAAGGCGACUUUCUGGUCUGUAACUGACGCUGAUGUGCGAAAGCGUGGGGAUCAAACAGGAUUAGAUACCCUGGUAGUCCACGCCGUAAACGAUGAGUGCUAAGUGUUAGGGGGUUUCCGCCCCUUAGUGCUGCAGCUAACGCAUUAAGCACUCCGCCUGGGGAGUACGACCGCAAGGUUGAAACUCAAAGGAAUUGACGGGGACCCGCACAAGCGGUGGAGCAUGUGGUUUAAUUCGAAGCAACGCGAAGAACCUUACCAAAUCUUGACAUCCUUUGACAACUCUAGAGAUAGAGCUUUCCCCUUCGGGGGACAAAGUGACAGGUGGUGCAUGGUUGUCGUCAGCUCGUGUCGUGAGAUGUUGGGUUAAGUCCCGCAACGAGCGCAACCCUUAAGCUUAGUUGCCAUCAUUAAGUUGGGCACUCUAAGUUGACUGCCGGUGACAAACCGGAGGAAGGUGGGGAUGACGUCAAAUCAUCAUGCCCCUUAUGAUUUGGGCUACACACGUGCUACAAUGGACAAUACAAAGGGCAGCGAAACCGCGAGGUCAAGCAAAUCCCAUAAAGUUGUUCUCAGUUCGGAUUGUAGUCUGCAACUCGACUACAUGAAGCUGGAAUCGCUAGUAAUCGUAGGUCAGCAUGCUACGGUGAAUACGUUCCCGGGUCU